RNAcentral lists this ribosomal RNA (497 nucleotides) under uncultured bacterium. RNAcentral's name for it is "partial 16S ribosomal RNA". It matches the Rfam family "Bacterial small subunit ribosomal RNA", at positions 28 to 507 of the family's 1533-position model. The record is from RNAcentral.
GAUGAACGCUGGCGGCGUGCCUAAUACAUGCAAGUCGAGCGAACAGACGAGGAGCUUGCUCCUCUGACGUUAGCGGCGGACGGGUGAGUAACACGUUGAUAACCUACCUAUAAGACUGGGAUAACUUCGGGAAACCGGAGCUAAUACCGGAUUAUAUAUUGAACCUCAUGGUUCAAUAGUGAAAGCCGGUUUUGCUGUCACUUAUAGAUGGAUCCGCGCCGCAUUAGCUAGUUGGUAAGGUAACGGCUUACCAAGGCAACGAUGCGUAGCCGACCUGAGAGGGUGAUCGGCCACACUGGAACUGAGACACGGUCCAGACUCCUACGGGAGGCAGCAGUAGGGAAUCUUCCGCAAUGGGCGAAAGCCUGACGGAGCAACGCCGCGUGAGUGAUGAAGGUCUUCGGAUCGUAAAACUCUGUUAUUAGGGAAGAACAAAUGUGUAAGUAACUAUGCACGUCUUGACGGUACCUAAUCAGAAAGCCACGGCUAACUACGUG